UAAUUCAAAAAUCAAGAAUUUUUUUAAAUAAAAGCAUGAUAAAUACAAUAAACAUUACAUUUGUUCCAA
RNAcentral lists this transfer RNA (69 nucleotides) under uncultured eukaryote. The record is from RNAcentral.